Non-coding RNA from Ameiurus melas (black bullhead), 73 nucleotides. Lineage: Eukaryota; Metazoa; Chordata; Actinopteri; Siluriformes; Ictaluridae. The record is from the annotation of a GenBank genome assembly.
GCAGUGGAAGCUCAGUGGUUAAAGCAUUGGGUUAUUGAUUGGAAGGUUGUGAGUUCAAAUCUCAGCACCAACA